GGCUUAAAAUAGCAAACCUUUCGAAAGAAAGGGACGCAAAGCUUCCGGUCUAAGGUGAAAACUAAGAUAGCGGGGUUGCUGAA
Pseudoalteromonas phenolica is the source of this 83-nucleotide regulatory RNA element. It matches the Rfam family "c-di-GMP-I riboswitch aptamer". Rfam says of the family: GEMM was predicted in a large-scale screen for bacterial structured RNA regulatory elements. Genes associated with GEMM are involved in a diverse array of functions, including chemotaxis regulation, signal transduction, secretion and chitin. NCBI's taxonomy places the organism in Bacteria, Pseudomonadati, Pseudomonadota, Gammaproteobacteria, Alteromonadales, Pseudoalteromonadaceae. The record is from Rfam.